ACAACGGCGGCAUUUUUUCCGAGUAAACUAAUAUUUAGGUUAUUAAAAGAUACGAAAAUACAGGGGUUAAUAUAUUAUUUUUUUAAACUAGAGAGACUAAAAUAGAGGUUAAUAUAGACUCGGAGUUUUGGCUUCUAUUUCACAAUAAUAAUCCAUAUGGUUUUGCUUAAUAUCUAAGAAGUGAAGGUGGUUGGUGGUUAAAAUAUAUUAUCCGCUGGGCUAAAAGGUCUUC
This is a long non-coding RNA of Populus euphratica (Euphrates poplar), 232 nucleotides long. RefSeq lists it as uncharacterized. NCBI's taxonomy places the organism in Eukaryota, Viridiplantae, Streptophyta, Magnoliopsida, Malpighiales, Salicaceae. The transcript is spliced from 3 exons. The record is from RefSeq and is a predicted model, not a curated record.